This 917-nucleotide ribosomal RNA is filed under the name Massilia sp. RNAcentral's name for it is "bacterial SSU rRNA". It matches the Rfam family "Bacterial small subunit ribosomal RNA", at positions 92 to 1005 of the family's 1533-position model. The record is from RNAcentral. Lineage: Bacteria; Pseudomonadati; Pseudomonadota; Betaproteobacteria; Burkholderiales; Oxalobacteraceae.
CGAGUGGCGAACGGGUGGAGUAAUAUAUCGGAACGUACCCUGGAGUGGGGGAUAACGUAGCGAAAGUUACGCUAAUACCGCAUACGAUCUAAGGAUGAAAGCAGGGGACCGCAAGGCCUUGUGCUCCUGGAGCGGCCGAUAUCUGAUUAGCUAGUUGGUGGGGUAAAGGCCUACCAAGGCAUCGAUCAGUAGCUGGUCUGAGAGGACCACCAGCCACACGGGAACUGAGACACGGUCCAGACUCCUACGGGAGGCAGCAGUGGGGAAUUUUGGACAAUGGGCGCAAGCCUGAUCCAGCAAUGCCGCGUGAGUGAAGAAGGCCUUCGGGUUGUAAAGCUCUUUUGUCAGGGAAGAAACGGUGGGGGCUAAUAUCCCUUGCUAAUGACGGUACCUGAAGAAUAAGCACCGGCUAACUACGUGCCAGCAGCCGCGGUAAUACGUAGGGUGCAAGCGUUAAUCGGAAUUACUGGGCGUAAAGCGUGCGCAGGCGGUUUUGUAAGUUUGUCGUGAAAUCCCCGGGCUCAACCUGGGAAUGGCGAUGAAGACUGCAAGGCUAGAAUCUGGCAGAGGGGGGUAGAAUUCCACGUGUAGCAGUGAAAUGCGUAGAGAUGUGGAGGAACACCGAUGGCGAAGGCAGCCCCCUGGGUCAAGAUUGACGCUCAUGCACGAAAGCGUGGGGAGCAAACAGGAUUAGAUACCCUGGUAGUCCACGCCCUAAACGAUGUCUACUAGUUGUCGGGUUUUAAUUAACUUGGUAACGCAGCUAACGCGUGAAGUAGACCGCCUGGGGAGUACGGUCGCAAGAUUAAAACUCAAAGGAAUUGACGGGGACCCGCACAAGCGGUGGAUGAUGUGGAUUAAUUCGAUGCAACGCGAAAAACCUUACCUACCCUUGACAUGGCAGGAAUCCUUGAGAG